RNAcentral lists this ribosomal RNA (308 nucleotides) under uncultured bacterium. RNAcentral's name for it is "partial 16S ribosomal RNA". It matches the Rfam family "Bacterial small subunit ribosomal RNA", at positions 505 to 810 of the family's 1533-position model. The record is from RNAcentral.
GAGACAGCAGUAGCCGCGGGAACACGAAGGGUGCAAGCGUUAAUCGGAAUUACUGGGCGUAAAGCGUGCGUAGGCGGUUUGUUAAGUCUGCUGUGAAAUCCCCGGGCUCAACCUGGAAUGGCAGUGGAUACUGGCAAGCUAGAGUGUGUCAGAGGAUGGUGGAAUUCCCGGUGUAGCGGUGAAAUGCGUAGAGAUCGGGAGGAACAUCAGUGGCGAAGGCGGCCAUCUGGGACAACACUGACGCUGAGGCACGAAAGCGUGGGGAGCAAACAGGAUUAGAUACCCCGGUAGUCCCUGUCUCUUAUAAA